GCAUAGGAUGGGACAGAAGGAGAUGCUAAACAGUGAUGCAGAAGCAGCGAAGACCUCCGCAAUCCUGCAGGGAAGCUUGGGAGCUGGUACGGCCCUGCAGAGAUGCACUGAGCCUGACUGCUGCUGGAGCCCAGUGUGAGUCCUGGCAGAAGAAAUCUGCAAACCCUAGUCAGAUGUGUUUCAGCUUUGCAGUGGAUGGUAGGGCCACCCUCCCGUUGGGGUCAGGUCAGAGGACAUGACUCUUUAACAUUACUGAAAUUACAAGUUUCUUGAAUACAAGAUGAAGGAAGAGGUCAAAUAUCAAGUAGGAAGCCAAGCUGCCAUGUUGUAAGCUGCCCUAUGAAGGGACCCACAUGGCAAAGAAUGGAGAAUGACCCCAGCCAGCCAAGAACUCUCAGCCUACCGGCCCAUGAGGAACUGAAUCCUGCCAACAGCGAUGUGAGUGAACUUGGAAGUGGAUCCUUCUCCAGUGGCACCAUCAGGUGAGACUAUAGCCCCAGCCAACAUGGGAGUUGUUUCAGAAGAAAGGAAGUAUUAAGCCAGAUGCUUUACAGACUUUAUCUUGGACCUCAAAUUCAUUCUGUGAGAUACAUGUUGGUAUCUCCAUUGUGUAGAUAAGAAAACCAAGACUCAAAAAGGUGAAAACUUACUAAAUGUCAUAUGAUGAAUGAAUAGAAGAGAGGGGAUUUGAACUCAGGACUGAUAACACAAAAGCCCACACUCUGGUUAUUGCAGAAAUAUACUGUGUUUUUAUUUCCACGUUUCCAUCAGAACUUAAAAAUAAAAAUGGACAGUUGCUCAAUUAUCCCACUAACAAACAUAUGGCAGCAGCAAGAACUGGGACCACAGCACCAUGCUAACCAAGGCCAGGCCUUCCCUGAGUUGGUAUACACUCCCGUACAGCAGCAUCAGAAGCUGCUCAGAGCCUGCAACAUCCUCUUGAGGCAGAAUCCUCCAUGUGCAAAGUGAUCUAAUGGUCAGUUUUUAAAAGAAAAUAGCUGAAUCUGAUGCCAGUAUGGGCUAAGUACUACUUCUAAGAACCUUACAUGUCUUAACUCACUUAAACAAUCCUACAAGAAAGGCACUAUUAUAGUCAUCCAAUUUACGGAUGAGGAGACCAAGGCACAGAGAAUUUAGAUAAUUUUCUCCCAGACAUUCAGCUAUAAGGAGCAGAGCCAGGAUUUAAACUCUGACAAUUUGUCUCCACAGUCGCAUACAAGACCCCCAGAAUUCUCUCCUUGGUCCCAGGCUAUCAUGUUGCCUGGGUUCCCAAUACAGCACUGGGUGUAGCUGGCCUUGGUUCCAGGCCUUCACCUUCUGGAUUCAACCUGGCUACCAACACCCUUGAUUCUGACUUUCUCCAUUCACCUCCUCGUUCCCAGUUCCCAGCUAGCCCUUUCUGCCUUGACCCCAUCUGCCCUGGCUCUUAAGCUGUUCACACCUGCAUCCCAUCCCAUGCCUGCACCCCAGCCCUCACCUGCCUCCUGACCUGUCUUACAGCUCACCAUCCAGCCCGCCUGAGGCUCUGCCCACUGACAGGCUACUCCCAGGACAAUACUAGCUCCCCAGGACAAGCACUACACCCAGACGGCAUGUCAUUCAACAAGUCGGGGGCAGGCUUAAGGUGAAAAAUCAUCCCAAUUCUGGAGAUAUUAUCUGAAAAAAAAAGACUGUUUUCAGGAAACAAUCUUCCCAUCUGUGGUGAUUUUUAAAAUAUAGUUCCCAAAUUUUAUGUGGGAAAGGAAAGUAGCAAUAUAGAUGCAGGAAGAGCAUUACUGUGUGGAUAAAAAGAUGAUGUAUGCAAAUGAACAUGCUCAGCCUAGAACUUAAAUUAAAGUUACUGCCUGAUAUGGUAGGUACUGUGGUCUGAAUGUGUCCCCCAGAGUUCAUGUGUUGGAAACUUAAUCUCCAGUGCAACAAUGUUGAGCAAUGGAACCUUUAAGAAGUGACUGGGUCAGGAGAGUUCUGCCCUCAUGAAUGAAUUAAUGUCAUUAUUGCAAGAGUUAGUUAUUGCAGGAGUAGGUUCCUGAUUAAAAAGUGAGUCCACCCCCACUUCUCUCUCUUUUUCUGUCACGCACAUAUGCACUCUCUUGCCCUUCUACCUUCCACCAUGUGAUGACACAGCAAGAAGGCCCUCACCAGAUGCAGGCCUCUCAACCUUGGACUUUCC
This 2170-nucleotide long non-coding RNA is filed under the name Homo sapiens (human). Its description in RNAcentral is "HSALNT0361419". The record is from RNAcentral. Lineage: Eukaryota; Metazoa; Chordata; Mammalia; Primates; Hominidae.